GAUAAGCCAUGCAUGUCUCAGUACAAGCGAUCUUGUACCGUGAAACUGCGAAUGGCUCAUUACAACAGUUAUAGUUUAUUUGAUCGUGCGGAGCUACGUGGAUAACCGUAGGAAUUCUAGAGCUAAUACAUGCACCGUCGCCGAGGAGCUUUAGUUAGACCUCGGCGGGAUUUAUUAGAUCAAAAACCAAUCGCUUUUUCAUUUUGGUGAAAAAGCGUGGCGGGAUGAAUCAUAAUAACUUGACCGAAUCGUAUGGCCGUGAUUUGGCCGACGAUAAAUCAUUCAAAUUUCUGCCCUAUCAACUUUCGAUGGUAGGGUAGUGGCCUACCAUGGUGUUGACGGGUGACGGAGAAUUAGGGUUCGAUUCCGGAGAGGGAGCCUGAGAAACGGCUACCACAUCCAAGGAAGGCAGCAGGCGCGCAAAUUACCCAAUCCUGACUCAGGGAGGUAGCGACAAGAAAUAACGAUAGUAGGCUCGUUCGAGUCUGCGCAUCGGAAUGAGGACAAUUUACACCCCUUCUCGAGGAUCCAUUGGAGGGCAAGCCUGGUGCCAGCAGCCGCGGUAAUUCCAGCUCCAAUAGCGUAUACUAAAGUUGUUGCAGUUAAAAAGCUCGUAGUCGAAUGAUGAUUCUUCUGUCUGCGCGGACACUUAGGUGUAACUUAAGAUCGUCUGUGCACAAGAAUCACCUUGGUGUGGUACGAAUUUAGCAGAAAUAUUCUACUAAUGUUCACCACACACAUUACUGUGAACAAAAUAGAGUGUUCAUGGCAGGCCAUUAAGGCUUGAAUACCUCAGCAUG
This 800-nucleotide ribosomal RNA is filed under the name uncultured Cryptophyta. Its description in RNAcentral is "bacterial SSU rRNA". It matches the Rfam family "Eukaryotic small subunit ribosomal RNA", at positions 43 to 811 of the family's 1831-position model. The record is from RNAcentral. Lineage: Eukaryota; Cryptophyceae.